UAGGGAAUCUUCCGCAAUGGACGAAAGUCUUACGGAGCAACGCCGCGUGAGUGAAGAAGGAUUUCGGUUCGCAAAACUCUGUUGUUAGGGAAGAAAAAAUGUAUAGUAACUAUAUACAACAGAGACGGUACCUAACCAGAAAGCCACGGCUAACUACGUGCCAGCAGCCGCGGUAAUACGUAGGUGGCAAGCGUUGUCCGGAAUUAUUGUGCGUAAAGCGCGCGCAGGUGGUUUAUAAAAUCUGAUGUGAAAGCCCACGGCUCAACCGUGGAGGGUCAUUGGAAACUAAUAAGCUUGAGUGCAGGAAGGAAAAGUUGAAUUCCUAGUUUAGCGGUGAAAUGCGUAGAGAUUAGGAGGAAAACCAGUGGCUAAAGCGGCUUUUUGGCCUGCAACUGACACUGAGGCGCGAAAGCGUGGGGAGCAAACAGG
This 429-nucleotide ribosomal RNA is filed under the name Verrucomicrobiota bacterium. Its description in RNAcentral is "Verrucomicrobia bacterium partial 16S ribosomal RNA". It matches the Rfam family "Bacterial small subunit ribosomal RNA", at positions 355 to 776 of the family's 1533-position model. Lineage: Bacteria; Pseudomonadati; Verrucomicrobiota. The record is from RNAcentral.